UACGUAGGGGGCAAGCGUUGUCCGGAUUUAUUGGGCGUAAAGCGCUCGCAGGUGGUUCGUUGCGUCGUGCGUGAAAGACCCCGGCUCAACUGGGGAGUGUCGUGCGAUACGGGCGGACUGGAGGCCAGUAGGGGGAUGCGGAAUUCCGGGUGUAGUGGUGGAAUGCGUAGAGAUCCGGAGGAACACCAGCGGCGAAGGCGGCAUCCUGGACUGGUUCUGACACUCAUGAGCGAAAGCGUGGGGAGCGAUCCGG
RNAcentral lists this ribosomal RNA (253 nucleotides) under uncultured bacterium. RNAcentral describes it as "partial 16S ribosomal RNA". It matches the Rfam family "Bacterial small subunit ribosomal RNA", at positions 524 to 776 of the family's 1533-position model. The record is from RNAcentral.